Molecule: long non-coding RNA, 1683 nt
Organism: Acanthopagrus latus (yellowfin seabream)
Lineage: Eukaryota; Metazoa; Chordata; Actinopteri; Spariformes; Sparidae
Exons: 4
Source: RefSeq, a predicted model, not a curated record
GCUUUCAUUUGCUGUCCCUCAUCACCUCCCCAAUCCGUCCCCAAUACGAACUUGGCGUGGUCUCUAAAUGCGUCUGUGGACAGUUCACACAUGGAAAAUCAGGGUUACAAUCUUGUAGUAAGAACCCGGCAUAACACUACCCCCUUGAUGAAGCUGGGGAGACAAGUCUUUGGACGAGCCUUGGGAGGAAGUCAACAAAAGCUGCGCUGAUGUCAAGGUUAGGGUUAUGAGAAGAGAAGACUCGCAAGACUGAAAUCGCUCAAAUAACUUAAAUCAGACCCCACUUACCCUGGGGGAGUAGGGACAGCCUGUUUUAAUUGCAUUGGCACAGGAAGUGGGUGGACAGUGAUGGCGAGCCGAGACAGAAAGAAACACUUCGCCUGUCAUGUCUGCCACUGUUUCAGAGAGAGGAUGGACGGUUGGCUGUCGCUGCACCUCUGACUUGUUGACUUCCCAGUGAGCACAAUUGGCAAGUUUUUUGGUGCAUUCUCAUCAUGGGUGUAAAAUUCAUGAGAGGGAAAAACGACUAGAAGUGUUUCACAGGGGUUUGAUACGCUUUUUUCUCUCGGGGGUCAACAGGGUCGCGACACAGCCACCCCGCAGACCUGAGGUCAGGCCCCCGUGUGGGGUGAACGACCUGCUUCACUGUUAUCUCAUUGUUCGUGAAUCCCAGGGGCUCGCUUAUCAAAGAAAUCUACAUCAGUGCUCUCUAGCAUUCACAUUUCACAAGGCCACGGGAGACAGGCGGGGUCGCUGUGUGAAAGUACACACUUGAAUCAAUAAAUGUUUUCCUCUGUUUCUGUUUUUUUUUUUUUUUUUCCAAAUGUCACCAACUGCUUAAUCAUUUCUUCAACGUCUCCAAGGCUUAUUUCUUGCAAGCAGCUGGAGACACUAAGAAGUUACAUCUUAUGCCUCGAACAUGCGCAAGGCCAAGGGUGUGAAUGACGAGCAGAGGAAAAACUGAAACAAUUCUCGCGCUGCCGAUAAGAGGGAAUCCUGCAUUUUGCAGAAUGUUUCAAGUUUUUUUGUUUUCAUUAAAGCAUGAUGUGAGAAGUACAGGUCGAGGGCAUUUUCCUAGUCCUCUCCAGCGCGAGGCCUCGAUAGAGAACGUGGACGGAGUGAUUUGUGGGUCUACUCCCGCAGCAAUCAGGGAGAAUAUUCAUUAAUUUGUAUAUUUACGGUAGGCAAACCAAAAGGGUUCCCCCCAAUGUUAAUUAGCCACUUACAACAACAUUGCUUUUUAAUGAAGCAUGCAUCCUCCACUGUUCUUCGGGCUACUGUUUAUUUAAUUCCUUCAUUGUAAUGAGACUCAGAUGCCUCGUGUUUACACCAGCGGAGGACUGUGAAUGAAUUUUUUCCAAUUUGCUUCAGACAGAGCUGGAGAUAAAAGAAGUGAUGACGGUGCUUUCCCCCUCCUGGCAAUCAGAGUUCACAGAGACAUCUGCGGAGGUUAUGUGCUAACCUGCUAGCCACGGCGCAUCUCGCUCCACAACACCAACACUCCCCUGGUCCUCGACCCUCCACGUCUGAACCGCUAGCUGCAUGGAAUGCGAGAGCCAUUUCAUCGGCGGUGGAGGCCGAAAAGCCGUCUGAAGUUCAUGUGAAGGAGCUCUGUCUGUCAGAACCUGCGCACCGAGGGGCUGUUUUGUUGGAGCCGUGCUGUGGUGUCAGAUGGGAAAAUUG